Molecule: long non-coding RNA, 434 nt
Filed under: Gallus gallus (chicken)
Lineage: Eukaryota; Metazoa; Chordata; Aves; Galliformes; Phasianidae
Source: RNAcentral
GUUUGGAAAGCUGGCAGUUCAUACGUAUUUUUAACAGCAUAGACAGAGAUGUAAGUGCUAGAUGCCGAGGAUGGCUUCAACAAACCCAAUAAGGCGUGCCAGGUUCCAAGGCUACCAUAAUACUGGCAAAGGCAGAAUAACACAGUAUAUUUACAAUACAUAUAACUCAACCUCAUGAGGUGAAACUUAAAUGAAUUCUUAAUUUGUAACAGCAGCUAUAUAUACAAUUGUGCACAGGAUUACAGGGAGGCAGCAGCGUUCGCUUUUGCUAAAAAGCCCGUCUUGCAUGAAGAAUGUGCAAUGCUCAAGUUUGGGGAUUUUUAUUUGUUUUUACUAGUCUGACAGAAUGUGCACAAAGGACACUGGAAAGACCCCUUUCCUCUCUGGCUGUCCUUCAAUGUGUCCGAUCCACCACUCUUGGUCCUCUUCCCCUG